This 253-nucleotide ribosomal RNA is filed under the name uncultured bacterium. Its description in RNAcentral is "partial 16S ribosomal RNA". It matches the Rfam family "Bacterial small subunit ribosomal RNA", at positions 524 to 776 of the family's 1533-position model. The record is from RNAcentral.
UACAGAGGUCCCAAGCGUUGUUCGGAUUCACUGGGCGUAAAGGGUGCGUAGGCGGUCAUUUAAGUCUGACGUGAAAUCUCCGGGCCUAACCCGGAAACUGCGUUGGAAACUAUUUGACUAGAGGAAUGGAGGGGAGACUGGAAUACUUGGUGUAGCAGUGAAAUGCGUAGAUAUCAAGUGGAACACCAGUGGCGAAGGCGAGUCUCUGGACAUUUCCUGACGCUGAGGCACGAAAGCCAGGGGAGCAAACGGG